GGCACUGUAGCUCAGUUGGUUAGAGCGUAGGACUCAUAAGCCUAAGGUCACUGGUUCGAUUCCAGUCAGUGCUACCA
Molecule: transfer RNA, 77 nt
Filed under: Candidatus Saccharimonadota bacterium
Lineage: Bacteria; Candidatus Saccharimonadota
Also listed under: 2 other names
Description: tRNA-Met
Rfam family: tRNA
About the family: Transfer RNA (tRNA) molecules are approximately 80 nucleotides in length. Their secondary structure includes four short double-helical elements and three loops (D, anti-codon, and T loops). Further hydrogen bonds mediate the characteristic L-shaped molecular structure. tRNAs have two regions of fundamental functional importance: the anti-codon, which is responsible for specific mRNA codon recognition, and the 3' end, to which the tRNAs corresponding amino acid is attached (by aminoacyl-tRNA synthetases). tRNAs cope with the degeneracy of the genetic code in two manners: having more than one tRNA (with a specific anti-codon) for a particular amino acid; and 'wobble' base-pairing, i.e. permitting non-standard base-pairing at the 3rd anti-codon position.
Source: RNAcentral